GUGGGGAAUUUUGGACAAUGGGCGCAAGCCUGAUCCAGCAAUGCCGCGUGCAGGAAGAAGGCCUUCGGGUUGUAAACUGCUUUUGUACGGAACGAAACGGUCCUGGUUAAUACCUGGGGCUAAUGACGGUACCGUAAGAAUAAGCACCGGCUAACUACGUGCCAGCAGCCGCGGUAAUACGUAGGGUGCGAGCGUUAAUCGGAAUUACUGGGCGUAAAGCGUGCGCAGGCGGUGCUGUAAGACAGGCGUGAAAUCCCCGGGCUCAACCUGGGAAUUGCGAUUGUGACUGCAGUGCUGGAGUACGGCAGAGGGGGAUGGAAUUCCGCGUGUAGCAGUGAAAUGCGUAGAUAUGCGGAGGAACACCGAUGGCGAAGGCAGUCCCCUGGGCCUGUACUGACGCUCAUGCACGAAAGCGUGGGGAGCAAACAGGAUUAGAUACCCCAGUAGUCC
RNAcentral lists this ribosomal RNA (450 nucleotides) under uncultured bacterium. Its description in RNAcentral is "partial 16S ribosomal RNA". It matches the Rfam family "Bacterial small subunit ribosomal RNA", at positions 354 to 796 of the family's 1533-position model. The record is from RNAcentral.